Molecule: ribosomal RNA, 397 nt
Filed under: uncultured Methanosaeta sp.
Lineage: Archaea; Methanobacteriati; Methanobacteriota; Methanomicrobia; Methanotrichales; Methanotrichaceae
Description: bacterial SSU rRNA
Rfam family: Archaeal small subunit ribosomal RNA
Source: RNAcentral
CAAUAUGAAGGUCAGGCUGAAGACCUUACCCGAUUUAGCUGAGAGGUGGUGCAUGGCCGUCGUCAGUUCGUACUGUGAAGCAUCCUGUUAAGUCAGGCAACGAGCGAGACCCACGUCCACAGUUGCCAGCAUACCCUCCGGGGUGAUGGGUACACUGUGGAGACCGCCGCUGCUAAAGCGGAGGAAGGAGUGGGCAACGGUAGGUCAGUAUGCCCCGAAUCUCCCGGGCUACACGCGGGCUACAAUGGUUGGUACAAUGGGCAUCUACCCCGAAAGGGGAAGGAAAUCUCUUAAAGCCAAUCGUAGUUCGGAUUGAGGGCUGCAACUCGCCCUCAUGAAGCUGGAAUCCGUAGUAAUCGCGUCUCAACAGAACGCGGUGAAUACGUCCCUGCUCCUU